AUUGUUGCGAUGGACCUCCUCCGCGCUACUAUUUCUAAAAAAUGUUUGUAAAAUUUUAUUGAAUUCAACAUAGUUGCAGCAACAAAUCAAGAACGAGGUAGCUUUAAUAUCCUCGGUAUCUUGGGUCGGAAGUAGCAGAAAAGAUUGAGUUACAGUAUCAUCCAAAUCAUUUACAAGGAAUGGCAAAGAGGCGAACAACACUGCAUUCAACCAAGUGAACAUGACAAGUUUUUUCACACGCGAAGUUGUAAUUGUCGUGUGAUAUUUGAAUGGAGACAAAAUCAUAAAAGCUCGUUCGACAGCUAUCAGCGUGACCGUCCCAGCGGAGGCAAAGCGAAGCGCAUUUACCACCACUAUAUAGAAGCCGCAGAGAAAGGGAGUCCACCUCCUCUGGACAAAAUAGUUCAUGAAAAUCAGAAUUUGAAGAGGGACAGCUCCGCCAAUGAAAUCUGCCGUUGAAAGGGACAGAAGGAGAAUAUCUGUAAUGACCCAUUGUUUUUGAAAUUUUAUCGACAGCAGCACCAAAAGAUUUCCAAGAGCAACUGCCAAAAUACCUGCUUCGAGGAAUAAGCCAAGUGCUAAUGGACUCAGAGAAGUUACUGCAUUAUCUCCUUCUUCUUUCACCGUAAAAGCUGAUGUCGUUAUGUUUGUUGUAUCGGCAUUGGUAACCACAGAUGUGGAGGCCAUUUGUAUUCUCACGAACGCACAGUUUUUGAACUUUAAAUCAGUUCGAGGCUCCUCGAACUUCUCAUAGCCUUGGCACGCGUCUGUUGGUCAAUUAGAGACAGAAGACAGCAAUGAAUGUAGAACUCCGAGUUUUUUUGUGAAACGAGACUUAAACCUGUUCCCCCUUGCUGUCUCGUCCACUCAUCGUGGGUUUAAAGCAGCAAGAACUUCAAAACCUUGAACUGCGACAAGUUUGGCAAACAAGUCACAGGAUCCAAAUAGCAAUGAAAGGGCAUGAAAAUAAAUACAUUCAAUGUGAACAGUGUCGUUCAGUGCAAAAAAUUUAAAACGGAGACUCAUGGUUAUUCUAACCACGUUUCCGUGUUGGUGAGAACGAAAAGAUACCAAGAAGCCGCAAAGAAUGGAAAUUUGUGAUCAAAAACACUUUCGUUUCUUUCCAAGUUGAAACUGGGUUAACGGUUUCUGUAGGAAUCUAAUCUAGGAACAACAGAUCUUUUACCAAGCUGAUUAAAUCCUGAGGCACGCUUCCGAGUAGCUUAACCCUGGGUUAACAGCCUCUUCAAAGAUUCCAUGUAUUGUUGUAUUGUCCUCAUAUUUGAGAAAAUGUCAAUCA
Pocillopora verrucosa is the source of this 1300-nucleotide long non-coding RNA. RefSeq lists it as uncharacterized. Lineage: Eukaryota; Metazoa; Cnidaria; Anthozoa; Scleractinia; Pocilloporidae. The record is from RefSeq and is a predicted model, not a curated record.